RNAcentral lists this ribosomal RNA (407 nucleotides) under uncultured bacterium. Its description in RNAcentral is "partial 16S ribosomal RNA". It matches the Rfam family "Bacterial small subunit ribosomal RNA", at positions 30 to 526 of the family's 1533-position model. The record is from RNAcentral.
AUUGAACGCUAGCGGGAUGCCUUACACAUGCAAGUCGAACGAGUGGCGAACGGGUGAGUAAUGUAUAGCUAAUCUGCCCUACACUAGAGGACAACAGUUGGAAACGACUGCUAAUACUCUAUAGUGUAGGAUGAGGCUAUAUUGUAUCAGCUAGUUGGUGAGGUAAUGGCUCACCAAGGCUAUGACGCAUAACUGGUCUGAGAGGAUGAUCAGUCACACUGGAACUGAGACACGGUCCAGACUCCUACGGGAGGCAGCAGUAGGGAAUAUUGCUCAAUGGGGGAAACCCUGAAGCAGCAACGCCGCGUGGAGGAUGACACUUUUCGGAGCGUAAACUCCUUUUGUUAGGGAAGCGGUACCUAACGAAUAAGCACCGGCUAACUCCGUGCCAGCAGCCGCGGUAGUAC